UGAACCUCAGAUGUCUUGUGGGCGUGGCCCAGGUGUGUGAAUGAAUCUCAGGUGUGCAGUGGGCGUGGCCAGGUGUGAAAAUGAACCUCAGCUGUGUGAUUGGCUCCCAGGUGUGAUGUGGGCGUGGCCAGGUGUGUAAAUGAAUCCCAGGUGUGUGAUUGGCUCCCAGGUGUGCGGUGGGCGUGGCCAGGUGUGAAAAUGAACCUCAGGUGGCGUGGCCAGGUGUGUGAAUGAAUCCCAGGUGUGUGAUUGGCUCCCAGGUGGGCGGUGGGCGUGGCCCAGGUGUGAAGAUGAACCUCAGGUGUGCAGUGGGCGUGGCCCAGGUGCGCAGUGGGCGUGGCCAAGGUGUCUGAUUGGCUCCCAGGUGGGCGUGGCCAGGGGUGUAUAAAUGAAUCCCAGGUGUGUGAUUGGCUCCCAGGUGUGCAAUGGGCGUGGCCCAGGUAUGGAAAUGAACUUCAGGUGUGCAGUGGGCGUGUCCCAGGUGUGUGAAUCUCCCCCAGGUGUGUGAUUGGCUCCCAGCUGUGCGGUGGGCGUGGCCAGGUAUGCAAAUGAAUUCCAGGUGUUUGGUGGGUGUGUCCAGGUGUGUGAAUGGCUCCCAGGUGUGCAGUGGGCGUGGCCCAGGUGUGUGAUUGGCUCCCAGGUAUGCGGUGGGCGUGGCCAGGUGUGAAAAUGAACCUCAGGUGUGUGGUGGGCGUGGCCAGGUGUGUAAUUGGCUCCCAGGUGUGCAGUGGGCGUGGCCAGGUGUGCGAAUGAAUCCCAGGUGUGUGAUUGGCUCCCAGGUGUGCGGUGGGGCGUGGCCAGGUGUGCGAAUGAAUCCCAGGUGCGUGAUUGGCUCCCAGGUGUGCAGUGGGCGUGGCCAAGGGUGUGUAAAUGAAUUCCAGGUGUUUGGUGGGUGUGGCCAGGUGUGUAAAUGGUUCCCAGGUGUGUGAUUGGCUCCCAGGUGUGCAGUGGGCGUGGCCAGGUGUGUAAAUGAAUCCCAGGUGUGUGAUUGGCUCCCUGGUGUGCGGUGGGCGUGUCCCAGGUAUGCAAAUGAAGCCCCUCCCCCCCAGCAAUAAACGCACCUGGACUCA
This is a long non-coding RNA of Passer domesticus (house sparrow), 1070 nucleotides long. RefSeq lists it as uncharacterized. NCBI's taxonomy places the organism in Eukaryota, Metazoa, Chordata, Aves, Passeriformes, Passeridae. The transcript is spliced from 2 exons. The record is from RefSeq and is a predicted model, not a curated record.